GACGAACGCUGGCGGCGUGCUUAAAACAUGCAAGUCGAACGAAGUGGCGGACGGGUGAGUAACGCGUAAUCAACCUGCCCUUCAGAGGGGGACAACAGGUGGAAACGACUGCUAAUACCGCAUACUGUAGGAGGGGAUUGCGUCUGAUUAGCUAGUUGGAGGGGUAACGGCCCACCAAGGCGAUGAUCAUUAGCAGGGCGUAGAGGAUGAACGGCCACAUUGGGACGGAGACACGGCCCAGACUCCUACGGGAGGCAGCAGUGGGGAAUGUUGGACAAUGGGCGCAAGCCUGAUCCAGCCAUGCCGCGUGACGGAAGAAGGCCUUCGGGUUGUAAAGGACUUUUGUCAGGGAAGCGGUACCUGAAGAAUAAGCACCGGCUAACUACGUGCCAGCCGCCGCGGUAAUAC
This 408-nucleotide ribosomal RNA is filed under the name uncultured bacterium. RNAcentral describes it as "partial 16S ribosomal RNA". It matches the Rfam family "Bacterial small subunit ribosomal RNA", at positions 28 to 526 of the family's 1533-position model. The record is from RNAcentral.